RNAcentral lists this ribosomal RNA (388 nucleotides) under Enterococcus faecalis. Its description in RNAcentral is "bacterial SSU rRNA". It matches the Rfam family "Bacterial small subunit ribosomal RNA", at positions 28 to 392 of the family's 1533-position model. The record is from RNAcentral. Lineage: Bacteria; Bacillati; Bacillota; Bacilli; Lactobacillales; Enterococcaceae.
GACGAACGCUGGCGGCGUGCCUAAUACAUGCAAGUCGAACGCUUCUUCCUCCCGAGUGCUUGCACUCAUUUGGAAAGAGGAGUGGCGGACGGGUGAGUAACACGUGGGUAACCUACCCAUCAGAGGGGGAUAACACUUGGAAACAGGUGCUAAUACCGCAUAACAGUUUAUGCCGCAUGGCAUAAGAGUGAAAGGCGCUUUUCGGGUGUCACUGAUGGAUGGACCCGCGGUGCAUUAGCUAGUUGGUGAGGUAACGGCUCACCAAGGCCACGAUGCAUAGCCGACCUGAGAGGGUGAUCGGCCACACUGGGACUGAGACACGGCCCAGACUCCUACGGGAGGCAGCCAGUAGGGAAUUUUUCGGCAAUGGACGAAAGUUUGACCGAGC